AGAGUUUGAUCCUGGCUCAGAAUCAACGCUGGCGGCGUGCCUAACACAUGCAAGUCGAACGCGAAAGUCCCGCAAGGGAUAAGUAGAGUGGCAAACGGGUGAGUAACACGUGGGUGACCUGCCUUCGAGCGGGGGAUAACGUCCCGAAAGGGACGCUAAUACCGCAUAACAUCCUGCCUUUGAAGAGGCGGUGAUCAAAGCUGGGGAUCGCAAGACCUAGCACUCGAAGAGGGGCCCGCGUCCGAUUAGCUAGUUGGUGGGGUAAUGGCCCACCAAGGCAACGAUCGGUAGCCGGCCUGAGAGGGCGGACGGCCACACUGGGACUGAGACACGGCCCAGACUCCUACGGGAGGCAGCAGUGGGGAAUUGUUCGCAAUGGGCGCAAGCCUGACGACGCAACGCCGCGUGGAGGAUGAAGAUCUUCGGGUCGUAAACUCCUUUCGAUCGAGACGAAUUCCUCCGGGGUGAACAAUCCCGGAGGUUGACGGUACCGAGAGAAGAAGCCCCGGCUAACUCCGUGCCAGCAGCCGCGGUAAUACGGGGGGGGCAAGCGUUGUUCGGAAUUACUGGGCGUAAAGGGCUCGUAGGUGGCCAACUAAGUCGGACGUGAAAUCCCUCGGCUUAACCGGGGAACUGCGUCCGAUACUGGUUGGCUUGAGUUUGGGAGAGGGAUGCGGAAUUCCAGGUGUAGCGGUGAAAUGCGUAGAUAUCUGGAGGAACACCGGUGGCGAAAGGCGGCAUCCUGGACCAAUACUGACGCUGAGGAGCGAAAGCCAGGGAGCAAACGGGAUUAGAUACCCCGGUAGUCCUGGCCCUAAACGAUGAAUGCUUGGNGUGNGGUAUCGAUCCCUGCCGUGCCGAAGCUAACGCAUUAAGCAUUCCGCCU
Molecule: ribosomal RNA, 886 nt
Filed under: uncultured bacterium
Lineage: Bacteria
Description: bacterial SSU rRNA
Rfam family: Bacterial small subunit ribosomal RNA
Source: RNAcentral